This 429-nucleotide ribosomal RNA is filed under the name Bacteroidota bacterium. Its description in RNAcentral is "Bacteroidetes bacterium partial 16S ribosomal RNA". It matches the Rfam family "Bacterial small subunit ribosomal RNA", at positions 355 to 776 of the family's 1533-position model. The record is from RNAcentral. Lineage: Bacteria; Pseudomonadati; Bacteroidota.
UAGGGAAUCUUCGGCAAUGGGGGGAACCCUGACCGAGCAACGCCGCGUGAGUGAAGAAGGUUUUCGGAUCGUAAAACUCUGUUGUUAGAGAAGAACAGCGCAUAGAGUAACUGUUAUGCGUGUGACGGUAUCUAACCAGAAAGCCACGGCUAACUACGUGCCAGCAGCCGCGGUAAUACGUAGGUGGCAAGCGUUGUCCGGAUUUAUUGGGCGUAAAGCGAGCGCAGGCGGUCAAUUAAGUCUGAUGUGAAAGCCCCCGGCUCAACCGGGGAGGGUCAUUGGAAACUGGUUGACUUGAGUGCAGAAGAGGAGAGUGGAAUUCCAUGUGUAACGGUGAAAUGCGUAGAUAUAUGGAGGAACACCAGUGGCGAAGGCGACUCUCUGGUCUGUAACUGACGCUGAGGCUCGAAAGCGUGGGUAGCAAACAGG